UCAGCUGGUGCCAAUAAUUUCCUACAAUUUGGCAUGUACUGGAAAUGUCAUGUGCCAUGCUAGCCUCCCAGAUGGUCUCCACAGGCCUCAUGCAGACACCGUCUGUUAUCAAAUAGCACUUUUUGUGUGAUAUGCCUUUCGGAGAGUCAGUGUUUGGGAAAUCUGGAGAGUUGCAGCUUUUAGGUGGUUGACAUUGAGAGGGUGCCGCAUGCCCUAUCUAAAUCAGUAGGAAAAUGAAGACAGCUGAGUGUGGGAUGCCGUAUAAAAUCACGUAAGGCCGCACGACUUCCUGUUUCCUGAGAAGUCCUGGCUGGGGGUCUGUCCAGAUGAAGGUCUCUAUGGCUUUAGAGUCUGGUCGCUCCUUGCUGCCUUGAUUUGGCCUUGCACUGAGAGCAUCUAUGGUAGAGGCCAGUUCUAAAGAACACUUUCUUGGAGGAGUUAUGGUCACUUUCCAUGCAGGAACUCUCCUCCCGAAGAGUUCAGAUCUUAACAAGCAGCUGGAAGGGAAGUGCUUUCGGGCCGAGGAGACUUGAGUCAAUAUACUGAGGCCAUCUGGAGUGGGGGACUCAGGACGUCAGGGCCCUCUGGGUGACAGUAAGUUGUUCAAUGGACUGGGUGAUGAUCUUGGUUAGCCCAUGUGGGCACAACAGCGAUCUGUAUAUAUUUGCUGAUGAAUUGCACCUGGGAUCAGGUUGCCCUAUGACUUGGAUUCAGACCUCUGCAUAUGAUUUUAUAUACCCUGUACAUGACCGUGGGAUCAAGACAAAGUAGGGGCGCCUGGGUAGCUCCAUUGGUUAAGAAUCUGACUUCAGCUCAGGUCAUGAUCUCCCAGUCUGCGAGUUCCAGUCCUACAAGAUGCUCUCUGCUAUUGAUGGAGUGGAGCCUGCUUCGGAUCCUCUGUCCCCCUCUCUCUGACCCUCCCCCACUGGUGUGUGCAUGCUCUCUCUCAAAAGUAAAUAAACAUUAAAAAUUUUUAAAUAUUUUUUUAGUAAAAAUAAAGAAUAGAGAUAGGUAUCUAAAUGUGCCAGAGAGUAAAUUUGUGCAGAAUCUAAAAUUUAACAUAUUCUCAGGAAAGACAAAGUCCUUUUGUGUGAAGAUACUUUAACUUGUGUGGGCUUUACUAAUUAGUAGAGUCAGUUCCUAAAAAUAAUUCCUAACUAGUAAAGUCAAUUCCUAAAAAUAAUUCUGUGUAUAUCAUAUUUGAGUAAUUAUUGCAGAAGGAAAUUAGAUUCACAUUCUAGGAUUUCAACAACCACUUUCUUAACUGAAAUUUGAUGUCACAUUUUCUGUUCUCUCCCUGAUGUGACUUUUCCACACUUGAAAUAAUCGACUGAUUGAGGUGGUGAAAGGUUGGAUCAUCCUAUCACAGUAUCAUCCUCUUAUAACCAUUUGUCAACAGCUACCUGUGACCCCUUCUUUCCCCCAAGGAGGCAAUUUUACCAUGCAACGCACAAAAAAAGUCUCUUCUGACUUUUGGGAUAUUUCUUAUAUUGUUUAUGAGGAUGGAGCUGUGCCAUUCAAUUGCUUAUUAAAUGUGUAUUUGAAUGUUA
This is an RNA transcript of Felis catus (domestic cat), 1550 nucleotides long. It is a transcript of the gene named oocyte secreted protein 2, with no coding region annotated. The record is from RefSeq and is a predicted model, not a curated record. The transcript is spliced from 3 exons. Lineage: Eukaryota; Metazoa; Chordata; Mammalia; Carnivora; Felidae.